GUAUGCAUAGGCCAUCCGACCUGGCUGGACUGGAUCUAUAAUAGUAGUGUGUUGCGUACAAGGAGAGAGAAUUCUCAGACAGAUAAGGGUGACUGAUUAUAUUACUAUCAACCUGAUAUAGAGCAAAACACCAAGCAGCAGCCAGGAUUGUUACUGUCCAUAAGGGGGCUGUUAUAAGAGGAAAUUACAAAAAAAAAAGGAUCCACAAAAUUAUUUUCACUCUAUCUACUCCCAUAAUGACCUCAUGUGGGGCGGCAGGGUAGCCUAGUGGUUAGAGCGUUGGACUAGUAACCGAAAGGUUGCAAGUUCAAAUCCCGAGCUCACAAGGUACAAAUCUGUCAUUCUGCCCCUGAACAGGCAGUUAACCCACUGUUCCUAGGCAGUCAUUGAAAAUAAGAAUUUGUUCUUAACUGACUUGCCUAGUAAAAUAAAAGUUAAAAAAAAAAAAAUGUCAUCACUACCAUUCACCUGGUGUCUAAUUUCAAUUGUUAAAAACUAAUGUUGCACAUUUUGCCAUUUGGUCACCAAAAUGCAAAUGGUCUAUAUACACUGAGUAUACAACAAAUUAGGAACAACUUCCAAAUAUUGAGUUGCAAACCACCCUUCCCCUCCUUUGUGGAAGAAAACAAAAAAAGGUAGGUCUAUAAUGCAACAAUGAAACAUGCAUGAGAGCAUCAGCUGUUCCGGACGACUGUGUGAUCACUCUAGCCGAUGUGAGUAAGACCUUUAAACAGGUUCACAAGGCCGCAGGGCCAGACGGAUUACCAGGACUCGCUGACCAACUGUCAAAUGUCUUCACUGACAUCUUCACCCUCUCCCUGUCUGAGUCUAUAAUACCAACGUGUUUCAAACAGAUCACCAUAGUCCCUGGGCCCAAGAACACUAAGGUAACCAGACUAAAUUACUACCGACCCAUAGCACUCACAUCUGUAGCCAUGAACUGCUUUGAAAGGCUGGUCAUGGCUCACAUCAACACCAUUAUCCCAGAAACCCUAGACCCACUCCAAUUUGCAUACUGCCCCCACA
Molecule: long non-coding RNA, 1026 nt
Organism: Oncorhynchus tshawytscha (Chinook salmon)
Lineage: Eukaryota; Metazoa; Chordata; Actinopteri; Salmoniformes; Salmonidae
Source: Ensembl